AGUAUAAUAUUUUACAAAAAUAUUAAAUUGCAAAUUUAAAGAUAGAAUUAUAUUUCUUUAUACUU
RNAcentral lists this transfer RNA (65 nucleotides) under Porhydrus obliquesignatus. Its description in RNAcentral is "tRNA-Cys". The record is from RNAcentral. Lineage: Eukaryota; Metazoa; Arthropoda; Insecta; Coleoptera; Dytiscidae.